RNAcentral lists this ribosomal RNA (983 nucleotides) under uncultured bacterium. Its description in RNAcentral is "bacterial SSU rRNA". It matches the Rfam family "Bacterial small subunit ribosomal RNA", at positions 59 to 1046 of the family's 1533-position model. The record is from RNAcentral.
AAGUUCGAGCGAGAAUUGAUUUGAGUUUACUUAAUUAAUGGGCAGCGGCGGACGAGCGAGUAACACGUAAGUAGCUACCCUGUACUCAGGGAUAACGGUCUGAAAGGAUCGCUAAUACCGGAUGGUCUCGUAAGAGUAAAGAUUUAUCGGUACAGGCAGUGCUUGCGGCUUAUCAGUUUGUUGGUAGUGUAAGAGACUACCAAGGCUAUGACGAGUAGCUGGUGUGAGAGCAUGACCAGCCGCGAUGGGACUGAGACACGGCCCAUACUCCUACGGGAGGCAGCAGUAAGGAAUCUUCCGCAAUGGGCGAAAGCCUGACGGAGCGACACCGCGUGAUGGAUGAAGGCCCAUGGGUCGUAAACAUCUUUUCUCUGGGAAGAAGAUCUGACGGUACCAGAGGAAUAAGGACCGGCUAAUUACGUGCCAGCAGCCGCGGUAAUACGUAAGGUCCAAGCGUUAUCCGGAAUCAUUGGGCGUAAAGCGUCCGCAGGUGGUUUGGAAAGUCAGUUAUUAAAUACCGGUGCUCAACAUCGGUGCUGUAAUUGAAACUUCUAAACUAGAGGAUGGUAGAGGUAUGUGGAAUUCUACAAGUAGGGGUAAAAUCCGUAGAUAUGUAGAGGAACAUCAAAAGCGAAGGCAGCAUACUGGACCAAUCCUGACACUCAGGGACGAAAGCGUGGGGAGCAAAACGGAUUAGAUACCCGUGUAGUCCACGCCGUAAACGAUGUUAGCUCGGUGUAGGGAACUCGAUCUUUUCCUCUGUGCCCAAGGUAACCCGUUAAGCUAGCCCGCCUGUGUAGUACGAUCGCACGAUUAAAACACAAAGGAAUAGACGAGGGACCCCACACAGGCGCACGGAACAUGGGGUUUAAUUUCGUCAAUAAGCGAGGUAACCUCACCUAGACUUGACAUCCUUAUUCGUACCUUUUUAAAAAAUAAUUUGGGGUCCGUUCCGCUCUGUAAUAAUGACAAGGCGAUCGCAC